Long non-coding RNA from Centruroides sculpturatus (bark scorpion), 87 nucleotides. RefSeq lists it as uncharacterized. The record is from RefSeq and is a predicted model, not a curated record. Lineage: Eukaryota; Metazoa; Arthropoda; Arachnida; Scorpiones; Buthidae. The transcript has 2 exons.
UAUAUAUUUAUUUUCUUGAUCAUUGAUGUAAAUUAUAACUGGGCCAAAGAAAUGAGGAAGGAAGAAAGAUGGAUGAAUACAAGGAAC